Molecule: ribosomal RNA, 253 nt
Filed under: uncultured bacterium
Lineage: Bacteria
Description: partial 16S ribosomal RNA
Rfam family: Bacterial small subunit ribosomal RNA
Source: RNAcentral
UACAGAGGUCCCAAGCGUUGUUCGGAUUCACUGGGCGUAAAGGGUGCGUAGGUGGUGAGGUAAGUCGGAUGUGAAAUCUCCAAGCCCAACUUGGAAACUGCAUUGGAAACUACCUUGCUAGAGGAUUUGAGGGGGGAUUGGAAUACUUGGUGUAGCAGUGAAAUGCGUAGAUAUCAAGUGGAACACCAGUGGCGAAGGCGAAUCCCUGGAAAAUACCUGACACUGAGGCACGAAAGCUAGGGGAGCAAACAGG